GGCACCCGGCCACCCCCUGACGAGUCCACUUUUGUUUGCGAGCUUGGCCGCUAGCGUGACGCUUAUCGGGGCGAGGCCACGGAAACGAGUAGAAAGCUAGAAGUGUCCCUGACAGUACGUUACAAGCGAAAUUAAUUGUAUUCUUUCGUUAUAGGUGACCGUAGGACUGUCGAUUGCAAGGACGUUGUUUCCUGUCUCAACGGUCACGCAUGCGCGUGCAAAAUUGCAACUGCUUCUCACAUGAAGCGUGUCUGGGUGCCACUUGCUUGGACAAUUGUUCGUCAGCCAUUUCGUUUGAGGAACUGUCGUGUUCGUCAGUAAGGGUGAGCUUGAUUGAGCUUUGCAGUGCCAGCCUGUUCGAAGUUUCGAGGAUUGUGUGUUCGACGUUUGGAGGACUGCCUGGUGCAUCGGCUGUGUUGUGUGUCCGUGCAACGUGUGCUCCAUGCAACGUGUGCUCCAUAUGUGUGUGUUGGGAUUAGUAGAUCGUGUUUGCUUUCCUUUUCGGCAAACUAUGAUGUACUGGAUGCAAUUUUAAGGUACGUGAAAGCCAAUAAAUUUUUGUGUUUCAUGUUCGA
Molecule: long non-coding RNA, 575 nt
Organism: Ornithodoros turicata
Lineage: Eukaryota; Metazoa; Arthropoda; Arachnida; Ixodida; Argasidae
Exons: 2
Source: RefSeq, a predicted model, not a curated record